CCACGAUGCCAGUUUCAGAGAAAUCGUUAGACGGAUUGGCUCUUCAUCUCUCACCUGGCAUUUUAACAAUGUUUCUAUUCGAAGAAUACUUUUGAGUUUCUGGGAACUGGUGAUCACAUCUGUGAUUUGAAAGUCGACUUACUUUUUGAAAAGCCUUUUAUUUAAUUAAGCAGCAAAAACAAACCUGUGUUUCCACCAGAUGCUUAUCACUGUAAGAGUAACAAGGAGACCCAAGAACUGCUCCCUCCCUGACUUUCAAGAACUUACUAUUUUGAUGAUUCCAGAUGACACUCAUGGUGUCUCUGGAUCAAGAGUGCCUGAACUGCAGAAAGUUAAUACAGCUGCUGGACGGGAUCUCCAGAAUCUCCGGAAGGUCUAUGACUCAAAGUCUUCUUCCCUUGAAUGGCACUACUGGAGUCUAAAUUCUCCAAAGUAAAUACAAGGCAGGAUGACGGCUGAGAACAACUCACAACUGGCACAUCAAAUGACCUCCACAAGGCCUCAGAAAUCAGUUAAUAACCCUUUCACAUCGUCUUAGAAUAAACCAAAGAGACACAUGGAGGAAGUUAAGAAGAAAGGAGUUGCUACAUCACCUGUCCCUGAAAUCGAAGGAUCCCAGCAUGGAAAGAGUUGACACUCUCUUGGGGAAAGGGAGAGAGAAUUAAGUCCAAGCCCUAGACUUGAAAUCCAGGACCAAGCCUUCCAGAGUGGAUCCCAGAGCUGAGCAGAGGCCCAUGAGCAAACCCCCUGGACACAUGGGUACACUGAGCCUCUGGAACUGCCUUAGCUGUCCAUGAAGAUGACCCAGACCACAGAGGUCACCACCAACUGGCCACCAACUGUGUGCUUGGGGACUCGGCACCCACAGCACAGCCUGGCCGCUGCUGACCGUGCUCCUGCAUACUGUGCCUAGGGCAGAGCUGCCCAUUCCUGGUGCCUCCGUGCGACUCCCGGCUCCACUCCAGCUCCCGGUUGGCUGCACCCAGCUGGCAGAGUGGGCUGACGGCACCUGAACUCGGCUUAUGCCAAUAUAUCCACCAGGUCUGGUGCCAGCUUCUGGUUGGUUCAUCUGCCAUUCACAGAGCUGGCUUUGCACUUGUUCAGAAAUUAAACUCAUGACUUGCCAGCAGUACUGCUUCAUUUAAAACAAAAUGUGAAAAAAAGUGCAUGUAAAAUCUGUGUGGACCCAAAUGGGUGGGAGAAAUUUUCUAGAUAAGGACUGUUUAAAAGCAAAUAGGAAUGAGUUAAUUAUAUUUGUAUUAUGUAUAUACUUCUCGGUGUAUGAAUUUAAAAACUACUCAUGAUGAAGAUCAUUGACCACUAACAAAGACUUUCUUCUCCUUCCUUUUUAUCUUUCUUCCUC
This is a non-coding RNA of Heterocephalus glaber (naked mole-rat), 1363 nucleotides long. Lineage: Eukaryota; Metazoa; Chordata; Mammalia; Rodentia; Bathyergidae. The record is from RefSeq and is a predicted model, not a curated record.